Molecule: long non-coding RNA, 1703 nt
Filed under: Homo sapiens (human)
Lineage: Eukaryota; Metazoa; Chordata; Mammalia; Primates; Hominidae
Description: HSALNT0197642
Source: RNAcentral
GGAGCUCCCACCGGAAGGGUGGGGCAGUGUUGGCUGGGAAAGAAUCUUCCGGAAGUCUGUGUCCUAGAAGUUAUCCCCGCACAAGCCACAGGCGCCUGAGCUGUGCGUGGCGGGAGAGGCAGGGCUGGCAGAGCCCGGGAGGGAGGCAGGCACAGAGCCACUGGGAGUGGGGCGGGGACGGAGCCGGGCUGGCAGGACUUGGGGCCAAGGCGGGACAGGCGAGUGUGACAGCCACAGCCAAGGCCAGGGCGGUGUCCCUGCACCCUGUGUGGGUUUGGGGGUGUCUGGCCGGGGCGGGGUGUGUGCGAAGUGGGUGGAGACAGAAAUCAUGCUGGGGAUGUCCACGCGGGAGCGUAGGAGUCAGUGCAGAAAACGCGUCUCCCUGGUGUCGGCAGCUCCGGCCCCCGGGCUGCUGCGGGAGCAAGUAGACCGGCUCCUUAGCGGCUCAGCGCAGCGGACGCCGAGUCCCAGCGGGGGCGUCCUCCUGCAGUGACUCAGGGGCCCUGGCUCUGUCUGUCCUCGGAUGCUCCCUUCCCAACACUUGGCUUCCAAGGUUGGACUGGAGCUGGGACCUGAUUGAACCCCUCGGUCCUCAGUGCCCAAGCGUAGAAGCCGUGGAGCCGCAUGGCCCUGGUGACUGGGCUGCGUGACCCCUCUGUGGCCCCCUCCUGACCUGAGAAAGUGGUGCAAACAUCCACCGCGUCAUCUGGUCGUUAGGAGCACAGAGCCUGACCCACGAUAGACACCACGGGCAUAAUAAAUGCCGCUUUCUGUUUGCUUCAGCAGGAUGUGGACAAAACCUUUAAAUUUGUUUUUAUGCAUUCAAUGCGUCCAGCUGUUACGACUCUGAAGCAAGUGUGAUUUUCAGUCUUUUGUAGUUGUUAUUCAGGGCAGUCCUGUUGUGCUGGGCUUGACUGAAGCGGCCAACACGGUCAUGUGUGUGUCUCCAGGCAGCAACCUGCAGUGAGCCCAAGAUCAUGGUCCAGGGCUCCUCCUCCCGGCAGGGAGGAACUGUCCUCAGCAUCCUCUGAGCCCCAGGUGUGCAGGGGGCAGGGUCAGGUAGAGAGAGGGGAGGAAGUUAGCUGAGGAACAAUGGCUAUUGGUCAGAUUUCCCUACCCCAACCCUGACACAAGCGCCUCGCACAUCAUUGGCUGAGAUCAGUCUCUCCAUUUUCCUAAUCGAUUCUUCAUGCAAAGCCACAUUUUGGAGAAAAGGAAUGGUUAGAAUCAUGGCAGGAUUGCUGAGGCAGUGAAUUGAAGAGGCUGCGUAGUGCUUGCAACCAGUUACCAUAUUUCCCUGGAGGAAUCACCAGCAACCGACUCUCCCAGGACUUACGAGGUGCUUCCCUUAUCACCAGCCGUCUCAGCACAAGUAGUGGAUGAGAAUGACCAAGUUACUGGUCAUGUGGAUGAGCACAACCUACUCACUUUAGAAGAGUUUCCUUCUGGGCCGGAUGGGCAGGGUGGCUGACGCCUGUAAUCCCAGCACUUUGGGAGGUUGAGGCAGGAGGAUUGCUUGAGUCCAGGAGUUCAAAACCAGCCUGGGCAGCAUAGUGAGACCCCAUCUAUACUAAAGAUAAAAUUAGCCAACUGUGGUGGUGCUCACCUGUAAUCCAAGCUAUUUGGGAGGCUGAGGCAGGAGGGUCACUCGAGCCCAGGAGUUCGAGGCUGCAGUGAGCUGUGGUGACACCACCACACUCUAG